AUGGCAUGGCAUGCCCCCCUCACUCCAGCCACACUUCCUCAGGCAUUCUGGUGUCUCCUAACAGUUCAUAAAAUCCAGAACCACAAGGCCCAGUACCACUGGUGUCUGCACAGUGUAUCUGUGUCCCUACACAGUGUAUCUGUGUCCAUACACAGUGUAUCUGUGUCCCUGCACAGUGUAUGUGUGUCCCUGCACAGUGUGUCUGUCCCUGCAAAGUGUAUCUGUGUCCCUGCACAGUGUAUCUGUGUCCCUGCACAGUGUAUGUGUCCCUGCACAGUGUAUCUGUGUCCCUGCACAGUGUAUCUGUGUCCCUGCACAGUGUAUGUGUGUCCCUGUACAGUGUGUCUGUGUCCCUGCACAGUGUGUCUGUGUCCCUGCAAAGUGUAUCUGUCCCUGCACAGUGUAUGUGUGUCCCUGCACAGUGUAUCUGUGUCCCUGCAAAGUGUAUCUGUCCCUGCACAGUGUGUCUGUGUCCCUACACAGCGUAUGUGUCCCUGCACAGUGUAUCUGUGUCCCUGCACAGUGUGUCUGUGUCCCUACACAGUGUAUGUGUGUCCCUGCACAGUGUAUCUGUCCCUGCACAGUGUCUGUGUCCCUGCACAGUGUAUCUGUGUCCCUGCACAGUGUAUCUGUCCCUGCACAGUGUCUGUGUCCCUGCACAGUGUGUCUGUCCCUGCACAGUGUCUGUGUCCCUGCACAGUGUAUCUGUGUCCCUGCAAAGUGUAUCUGUCCCUGCACAGUGUGUCUGUGUCCCUGCACAGUGUAUCUGUCCCUGCACAGUGUAUCUGUCCCUGCAUAGUGUCUGUGUCUCUGCACAGUGUCUGUGUCCCUGCACAGUGUGUCUGUCCCUGCACAGUGUGUCUGUGUCCCUGCACCGUGCUUUUCCCGUGUUUUCAGAGAGGGCUCUACCAGGACAUGUCAUCAUCACCACGCAGCCUGCUCAUUUUUAAAUUUGAUAAACGUGGAAAUGCUAGAAGCAGCAAUAUGAUUGAGUGCCUAUCAUGGACCAGAACAUGGCAGGCUUCUUGGUAA
This 1032-nucleotide long non-coding RNA is filed under the name Oryctolagus cuniculus (rabbit). RNAcentral's name for it is "lncRNA (ENSOCUG00000035931.1)". The record is from RNAcentral. Lineage: Eukaryota; Metazoa; Chordata; Mammalia; Lagomorpha; Leporidae.